This is a long non-coding RNA of Mya arenaria, 778 nucleotides long. RefSeq lists it as uncharacterized. The transcript has 2 exons. The record is from RefSeq and is a predicted model, not a curated record. NCBI's taxonomy places the organism in Eukaryota, Metazoa, Mollusca, Bivalvia, Myida, Myidae.
UUUUCGCUCAAACACAAUGACUUUACAGUACGUGAAUGUCAUAUAUUAAACAUUAAUUAUGCUCAUUUGAAGUACAGUCACAUUUUAUUUGAGUGACAUGGUAUUUAUUAUAUGCAUCACAUUAUUGACUAUAUAUUUGUUUAAAAGUGGACGUUAGUUCUUCGGCAUCUGUUGCAUGUGAAUGGCUGGAUUUCAAAGCAUAAGAUGGAACGUAAAUUACAACUACUAGUUAUACUUAUAGCUUUAGGGACGGUGUGGUCCACAAUUCGCAACGAUGGAUACCAAUGCGACUAUUGCUCCUUCACCUGUACCAGACUGCAGAACAUCUACCGGCACUUUUCCGUAAAACACCCGCACAGGAAACCAAAAUACCACCUUUACCACAAGAGCCAGAAGGCGCAUGCUCGAAAGAAGGGAGGACAAUACAAACUGAACAAACUAGGAUAACGUAAUUCAAAUGUUCCUAUACUGGACAAUCAGUUAUGUUAAUAAGGACAUAAUUUUUUUAUAUAUUUCUAAAUAACUUGAAAUAUCCUCAAUACAGCAAGAUUAAACGAAGUUAACUAGAUUUGUUUAAACUUGUGUAAACAUUACAUUUUUAAGAGCUUUUGGAUUUUAAAUGGAAAUUAUCUGAAGACGAUCACAAUUAAGCGCAAGUUAACUAUUAUAUUAGGGGCAUCUUCCGGACUGCUCAAAAGGUGUUGUUGAUAGUGGGACAUAUUUUUCCGAGACUGUACUACUUGUGUGAUAUGGAGAAAUAAAUUAUUCUGGAUCUUGA